UUGCUUUGGCAGCAUAUAUACUAAAAUUGGAAUGAUACAGAGAAGAUUAGCAUGGCCCCUGCUCAAUGACACACAAAUUCGUGAAGCAUUCCUAUUUUUC
This 100-nucleotide small nuclear RNA is filed under the name Marmota marmota marmota (Alpine marmot). Lineage: Eukaryota; Metazoa; Chordata; Mammalia; Rodentia; Sciuridae. RNAcentral also lists the same sequence under 1 other name. The record is from RNAcentral.